AAAAAAGCGAUGAUUGGCCUUAAGUAGUUAAUAAAUAGGUAGAUUAAAGAGACUUAGUGGUUGGUGUAAACUAAGACCAUUUAUUAAUGAAAUACAACCAGGAGCUAUUGCUAAUUUAGCAACGGUUAGAUACCGAUAUCAAAACGAGUGCACAUUCAUUUUGUGAACUAAGGUGGUACCGCGUAACCAUUACGUCCUUAGA
This 202-nucleotide non-coding RNA is filed under the name Haloplasma contractile. Its description in RNAcentral is "T-box sequence". It matches the Rfam family "T-box leader". From Rfam's summary of the family: Uncharged tRNA acts as the effector for transcription antitermination of genes in the T-box leader family. Lineage: Bacteria; Bacillati; Mycoplasmatota; Mollicutes; Haloplasmatales; Haloplasmataceae. The record is from RNAcentral.